UUCUGGCUCAGAACGAACGCUGGCGGCAUGGAUUAGGCAUGCAAGUCGAACGAAGCAGCAAUGCUUAGUGGCGGAAGGGUGAGGAACGCGUGAGUAAUCUGCCCUCAAGUUGGGAAUAACAGCUGGAAACGGCUGCUAAUACCGAAUGUGGCUGUUGGGUCGCAUGGUCUGACAGUUAAAGAUUUAUUGCUUGAGGAUGAGCUCGCGUCCCAUUAGCUAGUUGGCGGGGCAACGGCCCACCAAGGCGAUGAUGGGUAGCUGGUCUGAGAGGAUGGUCAGCCACACUGGGACUGAGACACUGCCCAGACUCCUACGGGAGGCUGCAGUCGAGAAUCUUGGGCAAUGCGCGAAAGCGUGACCCAGCCAAUGCCGCGUGCGUGAUGAAGGUCUUCGGAUUGUAAAGCGCUGUCAACCGGGACGAACUUAUGACGGUACCGGUGAAGGAAGCCACGGCUAACUACGUGCCAGCAGCCGC
RNAcentral lists this ribosomal RNA (475 nucleotides) under uncultured bacterium. RNAcentral's name for it is "bacterial SSU rRNA". It matches the Rfam family "Bacterial small subunit ribosomal RNA", at positions 17 to 518 of the family's 1533-position model. The record is from RNAcentral.